AUGAAAGAGAGGAAACUGAAGAAUGACAAAAUCAAGCAAUACCUGAUCCGAAAGUACUGGCUGAACACCAGAAAAAUUGAAGAAGCUUUGGAAAUCGUGAAAGAACAAAUUACAGCAACAGCCAGAAAAAUUGAAAGGUAUGAAGCCAGAAUCAUCCAGUACAGACAAAAUCAACUGUUUCAAUCAGACCAAAGACGGUUCUACCAGAGUCUGAACCAAACAACAGACACAGUAACCAUAAAGCCAGAGAAAACUGCAACAACAAAGUUCUGGAAAGAACUUUGGGAAAAUAAUAAAAACUACAACAAAAACGCUGGGUGGAUAAAGGAGUUUGAAGGAAAAUUCUCACAGAACAAAAUGGAGCAGAUGGAAAUAACAACUGAAAUGAUCAGCAAACGAGUGCAAAAAGUCAAGAACUGGACAUCGCCUGGUAGUGAUCAACCUCAUGGAUUUUGGCUCAAACAUCUGAUUAGUUUACAUGGAAAAAUGGCCCAACAAUUCAAUGAGAUGCUGCAGAAAGGAAGUAUCAGUGAAUGGCUAACAACUGGAAGAACAUACCUGAUACAAAAGGAUCCAGCAAAAGGAGCAGCACCAGGAAACUACAGGCCAAUAACGUGUCUGCCCACUAUGUUUAAACUACUGACUGGCAUCAUAGCUGACAGAAUUCAAGACUAUCUUGAAGAAAAAAACAUCUUGCCAGAUGAACAGAAAGGCAACAAACGGAAAAGCAGGGGCACAAAAGACCAGUUAUUGAUUGACAAAAUGAUUCUGGAGAACUGUAAGAGCCGAAAAGCUAAUCUUCACAUGACGUGGAUUGACUACAAAAAGGCCUUGACGCGCCCCCGCUUAAUAUUUAAAUUUAUCUCCGACCGGCCCUGCCUGGACGCCAUCGGGAUUUGUAAAACCGUUGGCACCUUCAUUGAAAACAUGAUGGAGCACUGGAAAACUGAACUGUUUGUUGGAAAUGAAAGCUAUGGACUUGUCAACAUCAGGAGAGGAAUUUUCCAAGGAGAUUCAUUAUCCCCUCUGCUUUUCAUUAUUGCCAUGAUCCCUCUAGAAUCAUAG
This 1065-nucleotide long non-coding RNA is filed under the name Anolis carolinensis (green anole). RNAcentral describes it as "lncRNA (ENSACAG00000037353.1)". Lineage: Eukaryota; Metazoa; Chordata; Lepidosauria; Squamata; Anolidae. The record is from RNAcentral.